RNAcentral lists this ribosomal RNA (752 nucleotides) under uncultured archaeon. RNAcentral's name for it is "bacterial SSU rRNA". It matches the Rfam family "Archaeal small subunit ribosomal RNA", at positions 151 to 906 of the family's 1478-position model. The record is from RNAcentral.
CCGCGAUAGGUCAUUGUUUCUGGAAUGGGCAAUGGCUCAAACCUACAUGGCCCCAGGAUGGCACUGCGGCCGAUCAGGUUGUUGGUGAGGUAAUGGCCCACCAAGCCUGUAACCGGUACGGGCUCUGAGAGGAGGAGCCCGGAGAUGGGCACUGAGACAAGGGCCCAGGUCCUAUGGGAUGCAGCAGGCGCGAAACCUUCGCAAUAGGCGAAAGCCUGACGAGGUUAAUCCGAGUGUUUUCCGCUAAGGGAAACUUUUGCCAGCUCUAAAACGGCUGGUGAAUAAGGGGUGGGCAAGUCUGGUGUCAGCCGCCGCGGUAAUACCAGCACCCCGAGUGGUCGGGACGAUUAUUUAGCCUAAAGCAUCCGUAGCCGGUCCGUCAAGUCUCCCGUUAAAUCCACCUGCUCAACAGAUGGGCUGCGGGGGAAACUGACGGACUAGGAGGCGGGAGAGGCGAGGGGUAUUCCAUGGGUAGGGGUAAAAUCCUCUGAUCCGUGGAGGACCACCAGUGGCGAAGGCGUCUCGCCAGAACGCGCUCGACGGUGAGGGAUGAAAGCUGGGGGAGCAAACCGGAUUAGAUACCCGGGUAGUCCCAGCUGUAAACGAUGUAGGCUCGGUGAUGGACUGGAUUCGAUCCAGCCCAGUGCCGCAGGGAGGCCGUUAAGCCUACCGCCUGGGGAGUACGGUCGCAAGACUGAAACUUAAAGGAAUUGGCGGGGGAGCACCACAAGGGGUGAAGCCUGCGGUUCAUU